CUUUUCUUUUCCCACAUCUCAAACCAAGCUCCAGCCACAUCUCUAAGCUGGUAAGCAGCCAGCUUCACAACUUCAUCAUCAAAUUCUUUCAUCACUCGAAGGGCUUUCUUGACACCCUCUAGCCACAACAUUGGAUCUUCAUCAACUAUAAAGCCAUGGAACACUAGAUGACUCAACUUCAAAAAUUCAUUCACUCUUGAGGACUCAGAAUUAUUCUGUCUAUUUGACUGAGGUAGAAUCUCAUCUCUUCUAUUCUUCUGGUUGGCCAUAAAAGCUUUAAACAUCUCCAUAGCACUGUUGGCAUCAUUAAACAUCUUACCCAUCUCGGGAGAUAUAGUUCCCUGAGCCGGAGGUGUUGUUGGGG
Molecule: long non-coding RNA, 364 nt
Filed under: Nicotiana benthamiana
Lineage: Eukaryota; Viridiplantae; Streptophyta; Magnoliopsida; Solanales; Solanaceae
Description: long non-coding RNA (NBEN_LNC017599)
Source: RNAcentral